CGUCUCUGCAGCGGGUCCCUCUCUUUCUGGGGCUCUCCUUCUCAUCUGUGCAUUCCGCUCGCUGUCUGACAAGCCUGUGUUUGUCAACUGAUUCUACAAAUUAACUAAGCCACCAAUCCAGAAUUAGUAGGACUGGGCUUCCCUUUUUAUUUUGAGACUGUGAUGGAGCCAAGACGCAGCAGCUGGGCCAUCAGGCCGCUCUCAACCUUGGCAGACAGAGGGGACCAUGCUCGGCAGGUCCAAGGCCAGCUGGGUGGGCGGUGCCUGCAGGCUACUGAGUUCCUCCUCUGGGGCCCAGGCUCCCCGGAUGGGAGAGAUACGAGACUGGACAGCAGUUGGACCGGUCCCCCGCCCCCCAGGCUUGGGGCUGCCUGUUCCCUCCUGGACAGCAGGGAGGGACAGCUGGUGCUGGUGGCACUCAGCGGGUGACACGGUCCCAGGAGUGCUUCUCACAGACGACUGCAGCCCCCACGUCACAGAUGAGGAAGCCGGAGACAUAGCACCAGCCAGCAAGUCAGGGUGGACCUGCACGGUCAGCUCCAGUGAGAAGCCCCAAGUCUAAAGAAACACAGGAGACAUGGGAGAGGCCCCGAAGGAGAAGCCGAAACCAGCCCAGCUUCCACAGCCAGGUCGUCACCUAGGGACGCUGCGCCGGGCUGCAGGGACCCAGGCCUUCCCCCAGCCGCCCCGGAAUCUGAGAAACCCCGGACAGAGAAGCCUCGAGGCCCAGGGCUGAGCCCCUGCAGACUGGAGAACCCCCGUUUCCCAAGUGCAGCUCACCAGGCACCUCCACUGCUGAUUGAGACCCAGGACACGUCUCGUGGAGAAGCUGGGUGCGCCCUGCAGGAGCUCUCAGGACACUUCGUGCAGGGAACAGGGGCCGCUCUCAGCCAAGUGGAGGAGGCAGAAGGGGACGGCGGGCCUGACGGAUCGCGAUGGCUCCCUGACCCGCACCCUGGCCCUGCGACACCCUGGGCCGGUGCUGAGCAGACGGCAGCAGUGGCUGGGCCUCAGGCCUCUCCCGGGAGCCUCCCACACCAGCCUCGGCCGGCGCUGGGGCCCUGGCCCCGGGUUUGCCUCCAUCUGCCCGCUGAGGGCUGGGACCCCAGGUGGAAAGAGCUGUUGGGUCUCUGUCCUGCAGGCGAGGGCAGGAGAAGCUACUCAGUUCAACCGAGCACCGACUCCGUGAACGCCGUCUAUGUCCAGGCCCACAUGAGAUCGACGAAGAGCUCAUAGCGAGCGGGCUGCACAGCUUGUGAGGAGAUGGACGCCUGGAGCCACCGGGAUUCUGCUGCCCUUGGUGUAGCCGUGGCCUGGCAGGGGCUUUUCAACACCCACCGGGGAGCCCCAGGUACCGCUGAGCCCGAGAGCCACUGUGCCCGGGCUAGGAGCAGUCAGACUCUGCCUGGGGGUGCCCCUGGAGCGUCCACUUCUUCAGUCACUGCAGAAGCUGCGAGAGCUGUUAAGCGGACGGUCUUGGAGGGAAAGAGGUUCUUGAACAGACGAGUCUUCUCAGCUUGAUUUCAGCCAGGGCCUUGCCCCGCGCUACAGCCUGAGCUUACUCCUUCCUGGAACCGUGUCCCUUCUGUCCAUCCUGACUUUGAGGCUAAAUCAGCACAAACACGCAGUCAGGUCCGUGAACUGCCGCUCGACGCCGCAGGUGGCUGGCAUCCAUCCCGGCCGAUGCGUGGCUGCGGUCACCUCGGAUAAAACGACCCGAGAGGCAAAAACGAGGCGCAGCCGCCACCUCCCGUCAGCAGCCUCCGCUCCCCGCCCACCUCCCGUAACUCGGGGACUGAAAUGCUCCCCCUCCUGGGCUCCACUUUAAAGCUCAGCUCAUUUACCUUGAAAAGGGGUAAAAAGCAGGUCCUUCAGGUAAGGGACCACCUGCCCAGGUCCCCGCAGGCUUUACCAGAAGGUCCGUGCGGCUCACAGCCUUGGUGGUGGUGUGGCUGGCGCCCUGGAUACCACUCGCCUACAAGGAAAGGCCCCCGUCCCCGAGUGAGGGCCCCUCCGCCCCGCACCUACUGUGUGUGCGGCCCCGCCCGGCCGUCGGCGCCCCCAGUGGGGCUUGGACGAGGGGACCACGUGGUUCUGCCGAGGCCCGUGCUGCCUGCUGGGCCAGGAGUGACGCGUCCUUGGUCCCUGACAGGGUCUCCUGAUCCCCGCUGGACCCGUGGCCCGUGGGCUGCCGUGAGAGCUUGCAGUUGGGUAACACAGCUCUGGACGCGGCCUUCCUACAAUGACUGUCAGAACAGACGAUCCACAGCAAGAUGGAGCAACGUGGGGAAACGGCAAUUUAACAGGAGCUGCCUUGUCGUCUGGACGCAGCCAGCCGCGCUCCUUGCAGACGCUGGACCCCAGCUUUGGGGCACGGGCGCAGGCGGGGUGUCCAC
Molecule: long non-coding RNA, 2396 nt
Organism: Bos taurus (domestic cattle)
Lineage: Eukaryota; Metazoa; Chordata; Mammalia; Artiodactyla; Bovidae
Source: Ensembl